GACGAACGCUGGCGGCGUGCUUAACACAUGCAAGUCGAACGAGACGAUUGAAAGCUUGCUUUCGAAAGUCGAGUGGCAAACGGGUGAGUAACGCGUAGACAACCUGCCUUUGAGAUGGGGACAACAGUUCGAAAGGACUGCUAAUACCAAAUGUUGUCUAUUUUCCACAUGGAAGAUAUAUUAAAGAUGGCCUCUAUUUAUAAGCUAUCGCUCAAAGAUGGGUCUGCGUCUGAUUAGCUGGUUGGUGGGGUAACGGCCUACCAAGGCGACGAUCAGUAGCCGGUCUGAGAGGAUGAACGGCCACAUUGGGACGGAGACACGGCCCAGACUCCUACAGGAGGCAGCAGUGGGGAAUCUUCCACAAUGGACGAAAGUCUGAUGGAGCAACGCCGCGUGAGUGAAGAAGGGUUUCGGCUCGUAAAGCUCUGUUGUCGGGGACGAAUGUGCAGUAUUUGAAUAAAGUACUGCAAUGACGGUACCUGACGAGGAAGUCACGGCUAACUACGUGCCAGCAGCCGCCGUAA
This 524-nucleotide ribosomal RNA is filed under the name uncultured bacterium. RNAcentral describes it as "partial 16S ribosomal RNA". It matches the Rfam family "Bacterial small subunit ribosomal RNA", at positions 28 to 523 of the family's 1533-position model. The record is from RNAcentral.